UACGUAGGGGGCAAGCGUUGUCCGGAUUUAUUGGGCGUAAAGAGCGUGUAGGCGGCCAUACAGGUCCGUUGUGAAAACUCGAGGCUCAACCUCGAGACGUCGAUGGAAACCGUAUGGCUAGAGUCCGGAAGAGGAGAGUGGAAUUCCUGGUGUAGCGGUGAAAUGCGCAGAUAUCAGGAAGAACACCGGUGGCGAAGGCGGCUCACUGGCUCAUUACUGACGCUCAUGCGCGACAGCGUGGGGAUCAAACAGG
Molecule: ribosomal RNA, 253 nt
Filed under: uncultured bacterium
Lineage: Bacteria
Description: partial 16S ribosomal RNA
Rfam family: Bacterial small subunit ribosomal RNA
Source: RNAcentral